Molecule: ribosomal RNA, 492 nt
Filed under: uncultured bacterium
Lineage: Bacteria
Description: partial 16S ribosomal RNA
Rfam family: Bacterial small subunit ribosomal RNA
Source: RNAcentral
GGUGAACGCUGGCGGUAGGCCUAACACAUGCAAGUCGAACGGCAGCACAGUAAGAGCUUGCUCUUACGGGUGGCGAGUGGCGGACGGGUGAGGAAUACAUCGGAAUCUACUUUUUCGUGGGGGAUAACGUAGGGAAACUUACGCUAAUACCGCAUACGACCUACGGGUGAAAGCAGGGGAUCUUCGGACCUUGCGCGAUUGAAUGAGCCGAUGUCGGAUUAGCUAGUUGGCGGGGUAAAGGCCCGCCAAGGCGACGAUCCGUAGCUGGUCUGAGAGGAUGAUCAGCCACACUGGAACUGAGACACGGUCCAGACUCCUACGGGAGGCAGCAGUGGGGAAUAUUGGACAAUGGGCGCAAGCCUGAUCCAGCCAUACCGCGUGGGUGAAGAAGGCCUUCGGGUUGUAAAGCCCUUUUGUUGGGAAAGAAAAGCAGCAGGUUAAUACCCCGCUGUUCUGACGGUACCCAAAGAAUAAGCACCGGCUAACUUCGUG